Molecule: ribosomal RNA, 253 nt
Filed under: uncultured bacterium
Lineage: Bacteria
Description: partial 16S ribosomal RNA
Rfam family: Bacterial small subunit ribosomal RNA
Source: RNAcentral
UACGGGGGGGGCAAGCGUUGUUCGGAAUUACUGGGCGUAAAGGGCUCGUAGGCGGCCAACUAAGUCGGACGUGAAAUCCCCAGGCUCAACCUGGGAACUGCGUCCGAUACUGGGAGGCUUGAAUCCGGGAGAGGGAUGUGGAAUUCCAGGUGUAGCGGUGAAAUGCGUAGAUAUCUGGAGGAACACCGGUGGCGAAGGCGGCAUCCUGGACCGGUAUUGACGCUGAGGCGCGAAAGCCAGGGGAGCAAACGGG